This 4308-nucleotide long non-coding RNA is filed under the name Salmo salar (Atlantic salmon). Its description in RNAcentral is "lncRNA (ENSSSAG00000112587.1)". Lineage: Eukaryota; Metazoa; Chordata; Actinopteri; Salmoniformes; Salmonidae. The record is from RNAcentral.
GGCUCUCAGAAGGCGCCAGAACGGGGAAUGAUGACUCUGCAGUCCCUGGGCGAAAAACAGUAGGGGAUUUGGAUAGUGGUCGAUCUGAGAACAAUGACACUAUUUUACAAGAAAAAUCGCAUAAAAAUAGAUUUUAAACAGCGUUUGACAUGCUUCGAAGUACGGUAAUGGAAUAUUUUGAAAGUUUUUGUCACGAUACGCGCCGGCGCGUUAUCCUUCGGAUAGUGUCUUGAACGCAAGAACAAAACGCUGCUAUUUGGAUAUAACAAUGGAUUAUUUGGAACCAAAACAACAUUGGGUGUUGAAGUAGAAGUCCUGGGAGUGCAUUCUGACGAAGAACAGCAAAGGUAAUCCAAUUUUUCUUAUAGUAAAUCUGAGUUUGGUGAGUGCCAAACUUGGUGGGUGUCAAAAUAGCUAGCCGUGAUGGCGAGCUAUCUACUCAGAAUAUUGAAAAAUGUGCUUUCACCGAAAAGCUAUUUUAAAAUCGGACACCGCGAUUGCAUAAAGGAGUUCUGUAUCUAUAAUUCUUAAAAUAAUUGUUAUGUUUUUUGUGAACGUUUAUCGUGAGUAAUUUAGUAAAUUCACCGGAAGUCUUCGCUGGGUAUGCUAGUUCUGAACGUCACAUGCUAAUGUAAAAAGCUGGUUUUUGAUAUAAAUAUGAACUUGAUUGAACAAAACAUGCAUGUAUUGUAUAACAUAAUGUCCUAGGAGUGUCAUCUGAUGAAGAUCAUCAAAGGACCUGAGCCCUAGGACCAUGCCUCAGGACUACCUGGUAUGAUGACUCCUUGCUGUCCCCAGUCCACCUGGCCGCGCUGCUGCUCCAGUUUCAACUGUUCUGCCUGCGGCUAUGGAACCCUGACCUGUUCACCGGACGUGCUUGUUGCACCCUCGACAACUACUAUGAUUAUUAUUAUUUGACCAUGCUGGUCAUUUAUGAACAUUUUAACAUCUUGACCAUGUUCUGUUAUAAUAUCCACCCUGCACAGCCAGAAGAGGACUGGCCACCCCUCAUAGCCUGGUUCCUCUCUAGGUUUCUUCCUAGGUUUUUGGCCUUUCUAGGGAGUUUUUCCUAGGGAGUUUUUCCUAGCCACCGUGCUUCUUUCACAUGCAUUGCUUGCUGUUUGGGGUUUUAGGCUGGGUUUCUGUACAGCACUUUGAGAUAUCAGCUGAUGUACGAAGGGCUAUAUAAAUAAAUUAGAUUUGAUUUGAUACACUUUCAUAGUAUUACCACGACAACCGGCAAAACAGUUCGUCUUUCAAUCACCCACGUGGGUAUAACCAAUGAGGAGAUGGCACGUGGGUACCUGCUUCAAUAAACCAAUGAGGAGAUGGGAGAGGCAGGACUUGCAGCGCGAUCUGCACCAGAAAUAGGAAUUACUUCUAUUUUAGCCCUUGGCAACGCAGACGUUUGUUGGUGCACGCGAGCAGUGUGGGUGCAAUAAUUGAAUAACAUAGAUUCCUAAAUCAGUCAGGGUAUUAGGUAUCACACUACCCAUGAAGGAAUAUACAAGUUUAACUUACAAUCGACUAUGGCACGAUAGCCAAUAAUACAUGUAGUACUGACAAUCCAGAGCAAGUAAACCUAUAAAACCUACCCUCUCUCCACCCAUGUAUUCCAGGGUCGUUGCUCUAUCACCUCGGCUGUUUUACACCUAGGCCUAUAUCAUUAGGAUCAAGAAUAUAAAAGGUAGCAUAAAUAGCUUGUAGAAAUAUGUAAUUUACCUCUCGCUUAGAGAAGUGCUUCCAUAAACCAGUUAUUGUGUUUGUUCUACCGUUAACUAUAACCCAUUUGCCUGUUUGAAUUGGAACAAUAAUAAUCCUUUAAAUUUUUUAUAUUGAGAUGUAUUUUUUAAAUGUAAAGUGUAAUGACACCAAUUAUUUUAGGAUUGUAUAGGCCUACUCCAAUAGAGACCCUAUGCCGGUUUUUAAUGUAUAAUCCUUUAUCCUAGCCCUACAAUACAUCUAUUCAUAUUUAUUACGUUUUAUCUUAAAAGGUAAUCGUUCCGAUUCACAUCCGCGAACAAGGGCCGCACUAUAUAACAGCUUUUUAGUCAUAAUAUACCCAACCUCUACAAUUAGGCCAUAUCAUACAAAAAAAAAUAAAAAAAUAACCUUGGUAUUUCUAAUGUACAAUCUUCAAAUUAUAUAAAUAAACAAUCAAAAAGAAAAAAGGUCAGCCUUACCCAUCUUCGGCCUUCCCCUAAAUCAAAACCUGAUAUUAUGUCCAUAUAGUCCAAAGUUCCAUAUUGCCUAAAUAAAAAAAGAAUAAAUUCAUCGUACCCAUUCUGCAUCGUACCCAAUUCAUCGUACCCAACUGCAUUACCAUAAGUCCAACCUUAUUUUAAGUCCACAUAGUCCAUGGUUCCAUACUGCAUGAGUAAAAACAAAUGACGAACAUUCUACUUCUCUGCUCAGAGCCUUUUCAAAAUGGGGUACAGGGCACGUCGUCUCUCCACUAUUUCAUGGGGAAAUUGUUCAUUAAUAGAGAACAGGGUGUUCUUCAAUUCCCUACCCUGUUGUAACAAGGCAAUUUUCAUUUUGUAGUGGGUUAGCAUAGCUACGAUCGGACUGGGCCUUCCCUCUGCUCUGCCACCGAAAUUGUGAGCCCUUUGAAAAUCAAUUAUUUUCACCUGUUCGUCCGUCAUUUUGAGAUUACAUUUCAUGAACACCUUGGCUGUGUUCGAAUACUCAUACUAACCAUACUAUUUGUGAAGUAAAUUGAGAAUGUAGUAUGCUUAUUAGUCAUAGUAUGGAUAUAGUUAGUAUGCCAAAAGUUCCCGGAUGUUGUACUAUAUUCGCCAAAAUACGAAGUGUACAAGCAAAAUUGUACAGAAAACACCCCUUUUCUUAAUUGUUUUAUUUGAUUUCGAAAACUAUUUAGAGUCAUUAAAACAUAUACAAAACAAAAUGUCUAAAAAAUGUAUUUGCUACAUGUCUGUAUUUGAAUUGAUAUAAUGUGGAUUUGUAUUAUUUUCUUUUUUUUCUUCUCUUAUUUAUUUGUGGAAUCCCUCUGGCUGUUCUGUUUAUGUUUUGCAUGUUGCUGUUAAUAAAAAAAUAAAAUACAAAAAAAAAUACUACAAAAUGUAUUAAAAAAAUGUAUUAAAAAAACAAGCAAUGGACACUAUUUCCGUACUUUUAGGGCCCAUAAUGCUAUUCUUCAGAAAAUGGGUGUGGCUUCACAACGUUUUCAUAUUUGAAGAAAGUUAUGGAAAAUAUGCAGCCGAAGUCCGAAGAGAGCGGCUACAAAUUAGUUUAUUUAACAAAUUAUGACAAAUGUUAAGAAAAUGUAAUAAAGUAAUGACUUUUCAAAUAAGUUACGUUACACGUUAUGUUGGCUGACUAUGUUAGCUACGCUGUCCUUACGAACCACAUAGCAUAACAUUACAGCAGUAUGUACCGGGUAUGUUAGCUACCUACUGUAACGUUAGUUGGCUACUAGAACAUCGAACUUGACAUUAUAUUUGCUUUAUGCUAUCUAACAACCCACCCAACGUUUAUUGACUUGAUUUUUCACGUCAUUCAUAGCUUAGCUAAGUGGUAUAGUCGAUGUGCGUUCUCAAUGGACAUUCGGGUGCUUUCGUAAAUUCGCUCUGGCUAUCUACUCCGAUUUCAGAGCAGUCUCAUCCAAUUGUUGCAGAGAGCAGAAUAACUGAUGAAUUUAUGAUCUCUCAACACCCGUUGAAUAUAGCCGGUGUCAAUAAACGUUGGCAAAAAUGCAUAAUUAAAUUGUUGCCAGCAGCACAGUCACCAACACUCUGGAUAACAUGAAAAAUGCCUAACCAGCUCUGCUAGGGCAAGUAAAAUGGUCAGUGAGGUGUUCUCUCAUUUGUGUCUGGAAGUAAGGUCAAUUUAAAAUAAAGAAAAACCCUGGAAUGAGUAGGUGUGUGCAAACUUUUGACUGGUACUGUAUGUAAAUUAGUUAUUUCUGCAUUUCAUUUUCAAUGAUUAGCAAAAAUGACUCAAAACAAAUUUUCAUUAUGGGGGAUAAGUCAAGAGGUAUUAAUACUUUCUAAAGGCACUGUAUUAGAAUGAGCUUUGUGAAGAACACAGUAUAUGAAUACACAGUGUGAAAAACAGUGUUUAAUGUCUCUAUAUACACGGAACAAAAAUAUAAAACGCAACAUGUAAAGUGUUGUUCCCAUGUUUCAUGAGCUGAAAUAAAAGAUCUCAGAACUUUUCCAUAUGCACAAAAAGCCUUUUUCUCUCAAAUGUUGUGCACAAAUUUGUUUACAUCCCAUAAGUCCCCCCAACAUAAUUUUAGAGAAUUUGGCCGUACGUCUAACCGGCCUCACAACUGCAGACCACGUG